Molecule: long non-coding RNA, 701 nt
Filed under: Homo sapiens (human)
Lineage: Eukaryota; Metazoa; Chordata; Mammalia; Primates; Hominidae
Description: non-protein coding lnc-OXSM-4:1
Source: RNAcentral
AUGGUGUCAGACUGCAAGAUUGGCCCACCUAUCCUCAACAGUGGCUCGGCCAAUUUAGGGAACAGGUGCCUCCAGAUAAUCGACUCUGUGGUCGAUUAUCUGUACCUGGAUGUAACGAACACGGACCCUGCUCUUUAGGACAGUCAGUUUUUUGCAGUUUGUUCCCAGCGUCACAUUUGGCCACACUAUGGUAGAAAGCCUUCAAAAGCAGCCAGGUCAGGACUCUUUUCUUUGACAUGCACAUGAGAGGGUUUAGGCUGUAAACAGUGGGUAAAGCCAAUGGCCAGAGGAGGCGCCAAUCAGCACACCACCUUUCAUCUUGAGGCUACUGAGAACCCAAGGACUUUGAUUAAAGACAUUUGGGAGAAUGGGAUGAAUGUUGGCCUUGCCAUUAAACUGGGAACUACAGUUGAGUAUUUGGCACUGUGCACUAAUAAAAUAGAUAUGGCCUUGGUAAUGACAGUGGAACCUGGAUUUGAAGAACAGAAAUUUAUGAAAGAUAUGAUGCCAAAAGUUCACUGGUUGCAGACCCAGCUCCUAUCUUUGGAUAUAGAGGUGAUGGUGGAGUAGGUCCUGAUAUUGUCCAUAAGGGUGCAGAGGUAGGAGCUCACAUGACUGUGUCUGGCAGUGCCAUUAUGAGGAGCGAAGACUAUAGAUCUGUGUCAACCUGUUAAAAAUGUCUGCAUGGAAGCUGCUCAGAA